ACCAUAGAGAGAAAAAACUAACUAAACGAAAAGGAACCAUUUUUUUAUGUAUUAUGUGCAUGAUUUGUGGAACUAUAUCUGUCAAACUUAAACUUAGAUUUUGUGUCAUAAAAAUAGUCUCCUUCGAGGCAUAAUAACAGAAGCAGAAAAGACCCACUUUCGGAGAAUACAAUACCCACUUUCGGAGAAUACAAUACCGAAGUGUCAUUGUCUACAAUAGGGGCCAUAAUAUCACUCUAAUAAUAAGGUUGCUAAUGGCAUAAACCUAACGCAAAUUUCCAUCAGUGAUAGAAAGCAUUAUAACCACUAGAGUUUCAACUCUAUAUCGGAUGAGACACUGGAAAA
This 345-nucleotide long non-coding RNA is filed under the name Actinidia chinensis (golden kiwifruit). RNAcentral's name for it is "long non-coding RNA (ACHI_LNC001143)". Lineage: Eukaryota; Viridiplantae; Streptophyta; Magnoliopsida; Ericales; Actinidiaceae. The record is from RNAcentral.